This 205-nucleotide long non-coding RNA is filed under the name Lathyrus oleraceus (garden pea). RNAcentral describes it as "Pisum sativum (pea) long non-coding RNA (PSAT_LNC012061)". Lineage: Eukaryota; Viridiplantae; Streptophyta; Magnoliopsida; Fabales; Fabaceae. The record is from RNAcentral.
AAAAAAAAUCUUGAUUUUUUGAUUUUUUUUCGAUUCUUUCUCUUUUUUUUUAUUUUUUUAUUACAUUUGUAAUGCCCCAGCUUGACUGUUUUGCUGAUUCUCAAGAUACAGCUGAAUGAUCUUCUUUUCAUAUUCAAGAAGACGAGUGAUCUCAUCAGGAAUAUCCUUCAACAUCAUCUUCCUCUGCCUCAAAUACAGGGAAUUC